GUACAGCCAGACUGCAGAGUAUGGCAGUUUUCGACGAGAUCUCGGGUGUGCAAGACAAAAAUUCAGGUGUGCAAGUGUGCAAUCCUCAGUUAACGUAGUCAAGUGUGCACUUGUAAAUAGCUGCAUGUUCUAAUGAUAUUAAACAAUGAUUGUUUAUUUGUACAAAUAACUAAAAUUUCUGCCUCUCAGGAAAACAAAACGUGGUCCAAAUUCUGACGAACAAACAAGAAUAUAUAUUUCGAUCGGAGUUAAAAGUCAUUAUGAACAUGUACAAAAUAGCGUGUUUUUGACAUACUUUUUGUCCUGUAAAAGGAAAAUGUGCAUGUCCUUGUAAUUGAGUUGUAAAUGGAAAAGUGUUUCACUCGAAAAUGCCAUUUCCGACAAUGUAGGGACUCCAAAUUUCAAAAAUUUUUCGCUCGGCGCCAACCAUGGUGGCGCCUCGAGGAAAUCGGACCAAUUAUAAGUUCUCUUGUGCCCAAGCUUACAUGCUAUACGGUUUUGUUUAAUCAUAACAACCUGAUGAUCGCAAAACUCUGCUGUAGAUAGAAAUUCGAAACUUUAAUGGGCAUUUUUCAUUUGCGCUCAUGAAUCAGUGUUACCGAUAUUCAGGUGGUUGUUAUAUUACACUUGUCUUAGAAGUCCUUAUUUUAAUGCCUGACAAAACUGGAAAAUAUUUUAAAUAUGUUUAAGUGUGCAAUACCAUUGGCCAAAAAAAAACUCGGGUGUGCACUUGCCGUACUCUGCAGUCUGG
RNAcentral lists this long non-coding RNA (751 nucleotides) under Paramuricea clavata. The record is from RNAcentral. Lineage: Eukaryota; Metazoa; Cnidaria; Anthozoa; Malacalcyonacea; Plexauridae.